This 292-nucleotide unclassified non-coding RNA is filed under the name Hevea brasiliensis (rubber tree). The record is from RNAcentral. Lineage: Eukaryota; Viridiplantae; Streptophyta; Magnoliopsida; Malpighiales; Euphorbiaceae.
UUAUUAGCUGUUCUGUUGCACACCUUGAGACAUUUUGUGACCGAUGGUGUGACGGCCGAAGUACUCCGUACCCAGUGCCAGUUUACUCAUUUAUCCAGUCCGGUCGAUUUACAUAGGUUACUUGGACAAUUAAAUUAAACCUUAAUAAAUGAUUACCAAAUAAUAAAUAUAACAGUAUUAAAUUAAUAAUAAUAUCAAUGAUUACCUAAAAUUUUAAUUUGCUCAUAAUCAUUACAUAAAUUCUAUAUAUUUAUGUAUAUUAGUUUAGUUUUAUUUUAUAUUGGCACCACUA